UACGGAAGGCAGCAGUGGGGAAUAUUGCACAAUGGGCGAAAGCCUGAUGCAGCUAUGCCGCGUGUAUGAAGAAGGCCUUAGGGUUGUAAAGUACUUUCAUCGGGGAGGAAAAAACAAAACUAAUAAUUUUAUUUCUUGACGUUACCCGAAAAAGAAGCACCGGCUAACUCCGUGCCAGCAGCCGCGGUAAUACGGAGGGUGCUAGCGUUAAUCAGAAUUACUGGGCGUAAAGAGCACGUAGGUGGUUUUUUUAAGUCAGAUGUGAAAUCCCUGGGCUUAACCUGGAACUGCAUUUUGAAACUGAAAUACUAGAGUAUCGUAGAGGGAGGUAGAAUUCUAGGUGUAGCGGUGAAAUGCGUAGAUAUCUGGAGGAAUACCUGUGGCGAAAGCGGCCUCCUAAACGAAUACUGACACUGAGGGUGCGAAAGCGUGGGGAGCAAACAGGGAUUAGAUA
Molecule: ribosomal RNA, 454 nt
Filed under: uncultured bacterium
Lineage: Bacteria
Description: bacterial SSU rRNA
Rfam family: Bacterial small subunit ribosomal RNA
Source: RNAcentral